RNAcentral lists this transfer RNA (65 nucleotides) under marine eukaryotic metagenome. It matches the Rfam family "tRNA", at positions 5 to 66 of the family's 71-position model. Rfam says of the family: Transfer RNA (tRNA) molecules are approximately 80 nucleotides in length. Their secondary structure includes four short double-helical elements and three loops (D, anti-codon, and T loops). The record is from RNAcentral.
ACAUAGCUCAGUCGGCAGAGCGUCGCCUUGGUAAGGCGGAGGUCACCGGUUCGAAUCCGGUUGUG